ACCGUUAUAACCGACGAUACCCGAAUGGGGAAACCCAGUGCAAUUCGUUGCACUAUUGCAUGGUGAAUACAUAGCCAUGCAAGGCGAACCGGGGGAACUGAAACAUCUAAGUACCCCGAGGAAAAGAAAUCAACCGAGAUUCCCCCAGUAGCGGCGAGCGAACGGGGAGGAGCCCAGAACCUGAAUCAGCGUAUGUGUUAGUGGAAGCGUCUGGAAAGUCGCACGGUACAGGGUGAUAGUCCCGUACACAAAAAUGCAUAUGUUGUGAGUUCGAUGAGUAGGGCGGGACACGUGACAUCCUGUCUGAAUAUGGGGGGACCAUCCUCCAAGGCUAAAUACUCCUGACUGACCGAUAGUGAACCAGUACCGUGAGGGAAAGGCGAAAAGAACCCCGGCGAGGGGAGUGAAACAGAACCUGAAACCGUGUACGUACAAGCAGUGGGAGCACCUUCGUGGUGUGACUGCGUACCUUUUGUAUAAUGGGUCAGCGACUUAUAUUUUGUAGCAAGGUUAACCGAAUAGGGGAGCCGUAGGGAAACCGAGUCUUAACUGGGCGAAUAGUUGCAAGGUAUAGACCCGAAACCCGGUGAUCUAGCCAUGGGCAGGUUGAAGGUUGGGUAACACUAACUGGAGGACCGAACCGACUAAUGUUGAAAAAUUAGCGGAUGACUUGUGGCUGGGGGUGAAAGGCCAAUCAAACCGGGAGAUAGCUGGUUCUCCCCGAAAGCUAUUUAGGUAGCGCCUCGUGAACUCAUCUUCGGGGGUAGAGCACUGUUUCGGCUAGGGGGUCAUCCCGACUUACCAAACCGAUGCAAACUCCGAAUACCGAAGAAUGUUAUCACGGGAGACACACGGCGGGUGCUAACGUCCGUCGUGAAGAGGGAAACAACCCAGACCGCCAGCUAAGGUCCCAAAGUCAUGGUUAAGUGGGAAACGAUGUGGGAAGGCACAGACAGCCAGGAUGUUGGCUUAGAAGCAGCCAUCAUUUAAAGAAAGCGUAAUAGCUCACUGGUCGAGUCGGCCUGCGCGGAAGAUGUAACGGGGCUAAACCAUGCACCGAAGCUGCGGCAGCGAACGUAUCACUUAAAACGCUUAACGUGACGGCAAAGCCGGCAUGUUCAAGCCACACUAAACGUUGAGUUGGCCGGUGUGCUGACAAACGAACAGGCGUUUUAAGGAUACGUUCGUUGGGUAGGGGAGCGUUCUGUAAGCCGUUGAAGGUGGUCUGUGAGGGCUGCUGGAGGUAUCAGAAGUGCGAAUGCUGACAUAAGUAACGAUAAUGCGGGUGAAAAACCCGCACGCCGGAAGACCAAGGGUUCCUGUCCAACGUUAAUCGGGGCAGGGUGAGUCGACCCCUAAGGCGAGGCUGAAAAGCGUAGUCGAUGGGAAACAGGUUAAUAUUCCUGUACUUGGUGUUACUGCGAAGGGGGGACGGAGAAGGCUAGGCUAGCCGGGCGACGGUUGUCCCGGUUUAAGCAUGUAGGCGGAGUGACCAGGUAAAUCCGGUUGCUUAUCAACGCUGAGGUGUGAUGACGAUGCACUACGGUGCAGAAGUAGUUGAUGCCAUGCUUCCAGGAAAAGCCUCUAAGCAUCAGGUAACAUGAAAUCGUACCCCAAACCGACACAGGUGGUCAGGUAGAGAAUACUCAGGCGCUUGAGAGAACUCGGGUGAAGGAACUAGGCAAAAUGGUGCCGUAACUUCGGGAGAAGGCACGCUGGCAUUA
Molecule: ribosomal RNA, 1724 nt
Filed under: Yersinia enterocolitica
Lineage: Bacteria; Pseudomonadati; Pseudomonadota; Gammaproteobacteria; Enterobacterales; Yersiniaceae
Description: partial 23S ribosomal RNA
Rfam family: Bacterial large subunit ribosomal RNA
Source: RNAcentral